RNAcentral lists this long non-coding RNA (427 nucleotides) under Mytilus galloprovincialis (Mediterranean mussel). Lineage: Eukaryota; Metazoa; Mollusca; Bivalvia; Mytilida; Mytilidae. The record is from RNAcentral.
GCCAAAAAUGUUGAAGAGUAGAUCCAAAGAUAUUGAUAAUGAAGCGUGGUCCAAUGAAAACUAUUUCAGCUCUCUCUUGCUUUUACAGAGUAAGCAUAUAAGAUAUUGUUUUAGUCUUUGCAUGCUAUAAAAACGAGAGGGAGGAGUAUUUCCCAAAAUUAUAAGGAAUCGUUCUUAAAUUUUUUGGAAGAAUUUAGAUACUAGUAUCUAAUGUAAUUGUCAUAGAGGAAUGCAAGCUUUUAGUAAAUAGUUUAACACUUAUUUAAGCCAUGAUGGACUGCAUAAAACAUAGAAUUACAUGAAAACACAUUUUGCCAACAUAAGUCAUGAUACAUAUAUUUCUGAAACUUUGUGAUCAUUGUCCUCUACAGAAAAAGACUCGUUCUGGCCUAUUCAUUGUUGUUCUUUGUGCAUUGGUGAAUUUAAA